AGACCCGAAACCCGGUGAUCUAGCCAUGGGCAGGUUGAAGGUUGGGUAACACUAACUGGAGGACCGAACCGACUAAUGUUGAAAAAUUAGCGGAUGACCUGUGGCUGGGGGUGAAAGGCCAAUCAAACCGGGAGAUAGCUGGUUCUCCCCGAAAGCUAUUUAGGUAGCGCCUCGUGAAUUCAUCUCCGGGGGUAGAGCACUGUUUCGGCUAGGGGGCCAUCCCGGCUUACCAACCCGAUGCAAACUGCGAAUACCGGAGAAUGUUAUCACGGGAGACACACGGCGGGUGCUAACGUCCGUCGUGAAGAGGGAAACAACCCAGACCGCCAGCUAAGGUCCCAAAGUCAUGGUUAAGUGGGAAACGAUGUGGGAAGGCCCAGACAGCCAGGAUGUUGGCUUAGAAGCAGCCAUCAUUUAAAGAAAGCGUAAUAGCUCACUGGUCGAGUCGGCCUGCGCGGAAGAUGUAACGGGGCUAAACCAUGCACCGAAGCUGCGGCAGCGAACGUAUCACUUAAAGCGAUUCAGCGGGUUACGAUUGACGGAGCGAAGCGACGUCAAAGCGUAUACAAAGUCGAGUCGGUUUAAGGAUACGUUCGUUGGGUAGGGGAGCGUUCUGUAAGCCUGUGAAGGUGGCCUGUGAGGGUUGCUGGAGGUAUCAGAAGUGCGAAUGCUGACAUAAGUAACGAUAAAGCGGGUGAAAAGCCCGCUCGCCGGAAGACCAAGGGUUCCUGUCCAACGUUAAUCGGGGCAGGGUGAGUCGACCCCUAAGGCGAGGCCGAAAGGCGUAGUCGAUGGGAAACGGGUUAAUAUUCCCGUACUUGGUGUUACUGCGAAGGGGGGACGGAGAAGGCUAUGUUGGCCGGGCGACGGUUGUCCCGGUUUAAGCGUGUAGGUGUGUGUUCCAGGUAAAUCCGGUUCACUUUAACACUGAGGCGUGACGACGAGGCACUACGGUGCUGAAGCAACAAAUGCCCUGCUUCCAGGAAAAGCCUCUAAGCAUCAGGUAACAUCAAAUCGUACCCCAAACCGACACAGGUGGUCAGGUAGAGAAUACCAAGGCGCUUGAGAGAACUCGGGUGAAGGAACUAGGCAAAAUGGUGCCGUAACUUCGGGAGAAGGCACGCU
This 1125-nucleotide ribosomal RNA is filed under the name Salmonella enterica. Its description in RNAcentral is "partial 23S ribosomal RNA". It matches the Rfam family "Bacterial large subunit ribosomal RNA", at positions 711 to 1752 of the family's 2925-position model. Lineage: Bacteria; Pseudomonadati; Pseudomonadota; Gammaproteobacteria; Enterobacterales; Enterobacteriaceae. The record is from RNAcentral.